GACGAACGCUGGCGGCGUGCUUAACACAUGCAAGUCGAACGGAAAGGCCCUGCUUUUGUGGGGUGCUCGAGUGGCGAACGGGUGAGUAACACGUGAGUAACCUGCCCUUGACUUUGGGAUAACUUCAGGAAACUGGGGCUAAUACCGGAUAGGAGCUCCUGCUGCAUGGUGGGGGUUGGAAAGUUUCGGCGGUUGGGGAUGGACUCGCGGCUUAUCAGCUUGUUGGUGGGGUAGUGGCUUACCAAGGCUUUGACGGGUAGCCGGCCUGAGAGGGUGACCGGCCACAUUGGGACUGAGAGACGGCCCAGACUCCUACGGGAAGCAGCAGUGGGGAAUAUUGCACAAUGGGCGGAAGCCUGAUGCAGCAACGCCGCGUGCGGGAUGACGGCCUUCGGGUUGUAAACAGAUUUCGCCUGUGACGAAGCGUGAGUGACGGUAAUGGGUAAAGAAGCACCGGCUAACUACGU
This 467-nucleotide ribosomal RNA is filed under the name uncultured bacterium. RNAcentral describes it as "partial 16S ribosomal RNA". It matches the Rfam family "Bacterial small subunit ribosomal RNA", at positions 28 to 506 of the family's 1533-position model. The record is from RNAcentral.